UAUCAUGUUAUUACUCUUGUAAUGUCAUAUCCUUUUAUGCAGAAACAAAUUCUCCUUCAUGUAAGUUUAUGUGGGCUUUAUCUAUGUACGAAAUUAAAAUAUUACAAUAAAUACGAAAUUACGUUAUUACAAUAAACACGAAAUUAAGAUAUUGCAAUAAAAUUAACAAAAUAAAACGGCAUCAUUCUUUUGUUUACAAAAAAUAGGAAAGGACAUCGGAUGGCGAUUUUUAAAAUAUUACAUGUCUAAUAACUUCGUUAUUUUUUGGGUUGCGACGGAAGUACAUAAAAGAUAAGUCUACGAUCUAUUUGCUCCAUCGUCUGCAUAUAUUAUUCUCUAUAUGAAAGAUGGCUGUACGAAACUGGAUCCUUACCCCUUCACAUUGCGCAGUGUCCGGGUGCAGAAAAAAUGCAAGUGAAAGGGUAUCAAAUAAGUUGCCAUAGAAUUCCAAAACAAGAACGUGUGAGGAGACAGAGGAUACGCUUUUGCGAACGAACAGAUAGAUGAAAUCCAAACACAUCUUAUAUAUGCAGUCGGCCUUCUGAACCAACUCCCUUCCGAAGAAACCUGAAGUACGAGUAACUUAAUUAACAUCCCUGUUCCUGCUCCCAAAAGACAUUUAAACCAGGAGCAGCACCGGCACUCUCCUCCGGCCCCAGAUGCGCCGUGCAUCCCAACUGCAAGGGCAGAGCAGAAUGUGACCUCUGAUGCAUGUGUACCAACACAUACGAGGACUUCUUGUAUGCAGAAUUUGUGUGUGCAACGACACCCCACGUCUCAACUGCAAGGGCCGAGCAGAAUGUGACCUCUGAAGCAUGGCUACCAACACACAACAGCAUUUUUGAUGACAAAGAGCACCCAGAGGUUACAGUAGAGGAGAUGUAACACUUGAAGAGGAAGGCAUCAUCCCGAGAAAAGGGAAAUUUCAGAUACUUGUGACUGUCAAGCACACAACCACACCUUUAAGCAUUGACGACCUGCUUGUGGUUGUUUGUAUGUAUGUACGAGGUGUGAGAAGCGCGAGAAGGUGACGAGGAGGUUGAAAGGAAAUGGCCCUGAACAGCUGAAUUGGUGGCGUUGUGAGAGGUCACAGUAGCAAUAACACCGUAUUUCCGUUCAUCUAUAAACUGACUACCCCUAAAGGCGGUGAAUGUAUGCCAGACACACGAAUUGGUACCCUGCAACAUCACAACAGUGGCUGGGACGUUGCAGCCAACGGUCGCUUAGAACAUUGGAUAAGAGCGAAUAAGAAAAGUGAAGAAUUGAAAUGAACCGAACUAGUGAUAUGACUGUAAAGUACAAAAAAGGAAAACCUGUAAAUGCGAUGUUAACUGUAUUUUUUUUAUCUUAUAUGAAUGGUUUUAACUACAUAUGCCGAUCUGAAAAUAAAAUGGUUAAAGGUUUA
This is a long non-coding RNA of Penaeus monodon (black tiger shrimp), 1405 nucleotides long. RefSeq lists it as uncharacterized. NCBI's taxonomy places the organism in Eukaryota, Metazoa, Arthropoda, Malacostraca, Decapoda, Penaeidae. The record is from RefSeq and is a predicted model, not a curated record. The transcript has 5 exons.